GGGACUGUGGCUCAGUGGUAGAGCAUUGGCCUAGCACCAGGUGAGAACCUGGGUUCAAUCCUCAGCACCCA
This 71-nucleotide transfer RNA is filed under the name Ictidomys tridecemlineatus (thirteen-lined ground squirrel). Its description in RNAcentral is "Spermophilus tridecemlineatus (thirteen-lined ground squirrel) tRNA". It matches the Rfam family "tRNA". Rfam says of the family: Transfer RNA (tRNA) molecules are approximately 80 nucleotides in length. Their secondary structure includes four short double-helical elements and three loops (D, anti-codon, and T loops). Lineage: Eukaryota; Metazoa; Chordata; Mammalia; Rodentia; Sciuridae. The record is from Rfam by way of RNAcentral.